This 4661-nucleotide long non-coding RNA is filed under the name Sus scrofa (pig). RNAcentral's name for it is "lncRNA (ENSSSCG00000055489.1, ENSSSCG00110003899.1)". Lineage: Eukaryota; Metazoa; Chordata; Mammalia; Artiodactyla; Suidae. The record is from RNAcentral.
AGCUAUAGCUGCUGGCCUACACCACAGCCAUGGCAACACCGGAUCCUAGCCACAUCUGCAACUUACAUGGUACUUUGUGGCAACCUUGGAACCUUAACCCACUGCGUGAGGCCAGGGAUUAAACCCGUAUCCUUACAGAGACAAGGUUGGGUCCUGAACCCGCUUAGCCACGAAACAAACUCCAGUAAAUGAAUACACCUUACUUCCACUUUUAGUCCCUGUGGACAGGUGUCUUUUUUCUUUUUAUUUCUUUUUCACCUCAUUGCUUUGAAAUUGGCAUACCUGAAGAUUCCUAGGGUGGCUUUGCUCCUCUCUGAAUUUAACUUUAUACUGUUUCACUUAUACCUCUGCCAAGAUUGGUGCCAUGAUUCUCACCUUUAUGAACAAUGUCAUCAUUUAUGGCUUUCAAAGUUACCCCUUGGCACUGUGGCAGAAAGUGAGUCAUCAUACACCCAUGAAAUCUAAGAUGAUUCUGAGAUAAUGCAGAAAAGAUUAGCUAUCUCACACCUUUCUCCUCACUCUGUUUUUCAUUCUGGCUCUCUGCCCCUGGCUGACAAAAUGUGCACGUAACUUUCUAUCCUCAUUCUGAAUUGCAUUCUGAGACUAGAAUGCCUUGACACCCACAUGCCUCUCAUCAAAAUCCUAACAUUGAUUUAAAAUGCAUGAGUCAUUUUAUUCAUAUCUCGGGCUCUGUAUGGGAAAAUGCUGAUCCUAGACAAAAGGAAACCCUAAUUUCCUCCCCCUCCUUAAUUUUCCAUGAUCCUCCAUAGCCUAUACAGCAUUUCUGGCCCACCCUUCAUAGAGCUGAUGGCUUUACAACACCUCUCAGUCAAUAAGGCUCCAUACUUGAAGGGGUUGGAGGAAUUACCGCUUGAUUCAUCAUACACAGGCACACACUCUUUUUCAAGUUCUUUAGGUCUGCCACCUCUGUGGAGAAAAAUGAUUCCUUUGGUAGAUGCAUGUGGAGGGGAGAGGGAAGAGAAGAGAAAUUAGGGUUAGAUUCGGAGGAGGACUAGGGCAUCUCUCUGUGGGUGUAUAUUGACACACUGUCUCUCAUGGAUGACACAAUCCAUUUCAUUUUCUUCUUAGUUCCUAUAAAGCAUUACGAACCAUCCUGAACAAUCCAUUUUGCAAUAAAAUGCUGUUGCAUUCCAGUAUUACCGUCUGUAGCUUACUUUAAACUCGACCCCACAUCAAAAAUGAGUAAAGCAAGUCAGCUGCUAUAUCUCAGUGGAUGCUCUUAGGUUGUCUUCAGGGCUUGAAAAAUGUCCAUGAAAACCACAGUUAAAAACAAAGUGCAUCAUCUAUCAGUGGACAUGCUUCAAUAAAAUGGAGUGUCACUGCAAACCUCCUUAGAAUGCAAGCACUAAAGCUCUGGAUGUUAGUGCACAGAAGAAUCUAGUCUUUUCAUCUGCCUUAAAUUAAUUAAUCAUCACAUUCAGCUACACACAAAAAACAUGGAGAGGUAGAAAGGUGUUAGGAACAAGGGCUCAGAAUGAAGCACCUCAGUAGACUUAAGGGUGUUAUCACUCACAGACAGGACUGUGGGUGAACUUCUUUACCCCCUCAAGGAUGGAGACAUAGGAAGAUAAAAUGCUGUGAGAUGAAAUGCCUAGUGGAACAGUAUCUUGCUCCCUCUUUUCUGAAUGAUAAUUUAGUUCUAGUCCCACUGUAUCUCUCACUGUCUUCUAAAAUUAUGUUCAAAGUUAAUUUUGUUUUUGAAACAUUCUAGACUAAUCUUAUGGGUCAUAUUUGUAUCUGUGUGUUAGAAACAAAAAUACAUACAUAGAAACAUAGAUGUCCAGGUAGACCUUCAGCUUCUUCCACAUUGGCUAAUGUGACAGUCUCUCCCUGAUGUGGAUACUAGAGAGGUUUGUGUGUGUUGGUCCUGCCUUUUACAUUAAGUUGCUAAUGCUUCCAGCGCAGGGAUCACGGCUACACAAUCCAUUGUUUCUAGAUACCUAUCUGAGAAAGGCAGAUUAUCCUUGUGACCAAAUAUCGGACCUUGGGGUCAGGAUAUCUUGGAUCUACUCAGGCAUGAACUGAGUCAGAUAACAAGCUCUUUGUGCCUCAGACUCCUCUGCUAUAAAUCAGAAUCAGAAGCAAUUUCUUUAUGGGCUGGUCUAAGAAUUCUGAUGGUGGGGGGAAAUUUAUCAGGGAAAGGUAGUAUAGAAAUGAACAGCGCAUCUUUCACCCUAUUCUUCCAGUUGUGCAGAUCCUAAUCCAUUUUCUAUGGCAUUGCAGAAUUUUCAUUUUCUUUUUAAGUAUCUAACUCUGCCCCAUUGCAUGGGUAGUAGAAUUAUUUUAUUUCAUUUUAGCAAUUUAAAUGUUUAUAUAUCAAUUUGAAAAAAUUUUACCCAGUGACCUUUUUCAAUGAGUCAACUUACAGAAAUGUAUUUUCUUUAAUAGGUUCCCUGGAGUCACUUUUUUCCCCCUCAUUUUCCCAUGUUUCCUUUUUAUCGCUGAUCAACUUAUCUGCUUCUGUUUAAAAUAUAAUUCUUUGCAAGGCCCCCAUGGUGAUAUUCACAUGAGGCUUUUCUCUAUCAAGUGCUGUCAUAAUUAGUUUUAUUGUCCAAUUUUUACUAUGUCGUGGGAGAUAACUAAGAUUUAAAGGUCAAAGAGAAAAUGUGGUAGCAAGAGCUGAGGGUGGUUUUGAAACAAGACAGUGACAACGGGACCCAUUGGCCCAAAAAUCAGACUCAGGAAAUUCACUUCUAUUGCCUCCAGUUCCCUGACUGAACACAUAUUUUCAUUAUUCUGAUCAUAAAGUGAUAGAAGUGCUAACACUUGAGGCAUAAAUGAAUGAAUAAACAGCAUCCUAUUAAAUACCAUAAGAGAAAACAAAAAACAAAAAACUUGUCCUUCAAAACUAAGAAUCGAAUUGCAUAGUUAGAUAACAAUAAAAAUAAGGUAAAAUCAAAUAUUAGCAGUACACUUGUCAAAAAAAGAGAGAUUAGAUAAAUUCUGAGGAUGUAAAUGUUCAAGUGAUAUAAAAGAAGUAAAUGACACCAGUUAAAGAAAGCCUUAAAGGACAAGCUCUGGUGAUUUAUUAAAAGUAAACUUAGCUGCUUGCAGAAUGGAUGACUGGACAGGAGAACAAGUUUCAAGACUGCCUGGGGGGAAAAAUGCCCAAACCACAUCUAAUAAUUGGGUCUUAUAUGGAAAAAAGACUACCCUAGAUAGGGAACUUAUACCACUUCCUUCUUGAAGUUUCUAAUCCACAAGUAUAACUAAUGGCCCCGGGACACUUGAUUAGCAGACUGUUGGUCCUAGGCUUAUACCCCAGCUGCUGAGGAUGCUGGGGAAUCAGUUUAUAUUGUAUUUCUCACCAGGAGAAGGAAGUUGCUUACUCCUCACUGAGAUGUGGUUAGGAGAGGGCAGAAAUCUGCAUACUGACCUAAGGAUGGGUAGAUACUGAGCAGCCACAGAGAAUGAGAAUUGCUCACUAUUAGAAUCUUCUUUUUGGUCAGCAUCAGCUUCAUUAAGAUUUGAAAAGAUUCAACAAGGAGAAUAUAUUCCUGCUCUUGGAGUCUUAGCAUGCUAGAGCGAGCAAGGACCUUAAAACUCUUUCAGUCCAAAGUCCUUAACAAAGAAUCCAAGGUCACAUAGAUGAUAACUGGUACAGCCAGUACUAGAACCCUGGUCACCUAAUUCCCACCUAGUGUGUCCUUGCACCCCUGCACCAAGUGUAAUUAUAAGAGAGAUCCUUACUUCUUGGAAGAAUGAAAGCAGAGUCAUAGUCUCUCUCUGCUUGAGGGAGCCCUCCUAUUCCAUUGAGAUACAAAGUUGUACCAGGACAGCACUGUCUAGGGCAUUUGUAAUAAAGCACUACAUGAUUAUCCUCUCUAACUAGCCCUAGGCUAUGCUCCCUUAACCUCUUGAUUCCCCUGUGGUUUCCGUUUUGUUUGUCUACAACAUAUUCUAUUCUCUUUGAAAACGCAGAGAACUCCAUUUGGGAUACAACUCAGAGGAAAAGAGCUAUGAAAGGAAGGCUCUAUUCUUCACAGGUAGGUGAAACUGUAUACUUCUCUGUGGGACUCACUUUCUUGAUCUGUAAUACCAGCUGACAUAACUCUCAGGUUCUUAGUUUUAUUUAGUUUAAUGUGUGUUUUUUUCUUUUAGGAUUAGAUGAGACUACAAUGUACAAAUGAGGUUCACAGUAAAUGUUCAUGGAAUGAAUGAAAACUGUGGGGAGGUUUUUUAAGUGCAUUUAUACACACAUGUAAGAAAACCAGCCUUCUCUCUCACACACUCACUCUCAAUCAUAUCCCUUUCUCUGACUCUAUCUCUCUCAGCUCUACAGAUAUAAUAUACAGAUACAUACCAUACAGAUGUAUGUUUAUCCAUAAGCAAGUACUACUUCUGUCCAUCAAGGGUAUAAAUAUUUCAUUAGGGAAAUGUCAAAAUUUGCAAGUCUUUACCAUCAAGCCACAACUAUGUGGUCCCUCUAUCCUUUAGCCUCUGACAUCCUUCCGAUGUCAGAAUCUGUUAAUUUCUGCCAUUUCUUUGGCUAAAUAGUCUCCCAAAUAACAAAGUCUUACUAGUCUUAACUAGUAACUUAGAUACACACCUGACGGUCUAUUGAACACUGUUCUCAGCACAUUUAUAUGACACUAUAUAUUUUGCUUUUUUUUUUUCUAUGACAGAUAUUCCUAUGGCUC